This 422-nucleotide ribosomal RNA is filed under the name uncultured bacterium. RNAcentral describes it as "bacterial SSU rRNA". It matches the Rfam family "Bacterial small subunit ribosomal RNA", at positions 463 to 886 of the family's 1533-position model. The record is from RNAcentral.
CCUUGUGUGACGGUACCGAAUGAAUAAGCCCCGGCUAACUCCGUGCCAGCAGCCGCGGUAAUACGGAGGGUGCGAGCGUUGUCCGGAUUUAUUGGGUUUAAAGGGUGCGUAGGUGGCUUUAUAAGUCAGUGGUGAAAUACAGCCGCUCAACGGUUGAGGUGCCAUUGAUACUGUAGAGCUUGAAACAAUUGGAGGCUGCCGGAAUGGAUGGUGUAGCGGUGAAAUGCAUAGAUAUCAUCCAGAACACCGAUUGCGAAGGCAGGUGGCUACGUUUGAUUUGACACUGAGGCACGAAAGCAUGGGGAGCAAACAGGAUUAGAUACCCUGGUAGUCCAUGCUGUAAACGAUGAGGACUCGCUGUUGGGCUGUCACGGUCCAACGGCUUAGGGAAACCGUUAAGUCCUCCACCUGGGGAGUACGCC